This 486-nucleotide ribosomal RNA is filed under the name uncultured bacterium. RNAcentral describes it as "partial 16S ribosomal RNA". It matches the Rfam family "Bacterial small subunit ribosomal RNA", at positions 30 to 507 of the family's 1533-position model. The record is from RNAcentral.
AUUGAACGCUGGCGGCAUGCCUUACACAUGCAAGUCGAACGGCAGCGCGGACUUCGGUCUGGCGGCGAGUGGCGAACGGGUGAGUAAUACAUCGGAACGUACCCUGUUGUGGGGGAUAACUAGUCGAAGGAUUAGCUAAUACCGCAUACGACCUGAGGGUGAAAGUGGGGGACCGGAAACGGCCUCAUGCAGCAGGAGCGGCCGAUGUCUGAUUAGCUAGUUGGUGGGGUAAAGGCCCACCAAGGCGACGAUCAGUAGCUGGUCUGAGAGGACGAUCAGCCACACUGGGACUGAGACACGGCCCAGACUCCUACGGGAGGCAGCAGUGGGGAAUUUUGGAUAAUGGGGGCAACCCUGAUCCAGCAAUGCCGCGUGUGUGAAGAAGGCCUUCGGGUUGUAAAGCACUUUUGUCCGGAAAGAAAUCGCGCUGGUUAAUACCUGGCGUGGAUGACGGUACCGGAAGAAUAAGCACCGGCUAACUACGUG